RNAcentral lists this non-coding RNA (66 nucleotides) under Bacillus licheniformis. Its description in RNAcentral is "Bacillaceae-1 RNA". It matches the Rfam family "Bacillaceae-1 RNA". Lineage: Bacteria; Bacillati; Bacillota; Bacilli; Caryophanales; Bacillaceae. RNAcentral also lists the same sequence under 3 other names. The record is from RNAcentral.
UUUAAAGGAAGGCAUGCUAAGAUCGCAACGUCCUGCUGCAACGCAUGCACUUGUAGGUCCUGUACU